CCUACGGGUGGCAGCAGUGAGGAAUAUUGGUCAAUGGGCGCUAGCCUGAACCAGCCAAGUAGCGUGAAGGAUGACUGCCCUAUGGGUUGUAAAUUUCUUAUAUAGGGUAAUAAAGUGCAGUAUGUAUACUGCUUUGCAUGUACCUUAUGAAUAAGGAUCGGCUAACUCCGUGCCAGCAGCCGCGGUAAUACGGAGGAUCCGAGCGUUAUCCGGAUUGAUUGGGGUUAAAGGGAGCGUAGGCGGGUUGUUAAGUCAGUUGUGAAAGUUUGCGGCUUAACCGUAACAUUGCAGUUGAUACUGGCUUCCUAGAGUACAGUAGAGGUAGGCGGAAUUCGUGGUGUAGCGGUGAAAUGCUUAGAUAUCACGAAGAACUCCGAAGGCGAAGGCAGCCUGCUGGACUGGAACUGACGCUGAUGCGCGAAAGUGUGGGUAUCAAACAGGAUUAGAUACCCGGGUAGUC
RNAcentral lists this ribosomal RNA (460 nucleotides) under uncultured bacterium. RNAcentral describes it as "partial 16S ribosomal RNA". It matches the Rfam family "Bacterial small subunit ribosomal RNA", at positions 338 to 795 of the family's 1533-position model. The record is from RNAcentral.